UACGAAGGGGGCUAGCGUUGUUCGGAAUUAUUGGGCGUAAAGGGAGCGUAGGCGGUUCGGCAAGUCUCUAGUGAAAUCUCUGGGCUCAACCCAGAGCCUGCUGGGGAAACUGCCGGGCUUGAGUAUGGGAGAGGUGAGUGGAACUCCGAGUGUAGAGGUGAAAUUCGUAGAUAUUAGGAAGAACACCAGUGGCGAAGGCGGCUCACUGGUCCGGUACUGACGCUGAGGCGCGAAAGCGUGGGGAGCAAACAGG
RNAcentral lists this ribosomal RNA (253 nucleotides) under uncultured bacterium. RNAcentral's name for it is "partial 16S ribosomal RNA". It matches the Rfam family "Bacterial small subunit ribosomal RNA", at positions 524 to 776 of the family's 1533-position model. The record is from RNAcentral.